CGCCAACAAGGCCUGGCUGGGCCUGGGGAUCUUCAUGGUCCUGGUGGUGAUCUAUCUCGCCAUCGCCUUCGAGUGGCGGAUGGCGC
This 86-nucleotide transfer RNA is filed under the name Streptomyces daqingensis. RNAcentral's name for it is "tRNA-Sec". The record is from RNAcentral. Lineage: Bacteria; Bacillati; Actinomycetota; Actinomycetes; Kitasatosporales; Streptomycetaceae.